AACGAACGCUGGCGGCAUGCCUAACACAUGCAAGUCGAACGAGACCUUCGGGUCUAGUGGCGCACUGGUGCGUAACGCGUUGGAACCUGCCCUUAGGUUCGGAAUAACUCCCCGAAAGGGGUGCUAAUACCGGCUAAUGUCUUCCGUCCAAAGGUUUAUCGCCUUUGGAUGGGCGUGCGUUGGAUUAGCUAGUUGUUAGGGUAAAAGCCUACCAAUGCUACGAUACAUAGCUGGGCUGAGAGGAUGAUCAGCCACACUGGUCGUAGGACACGGCCCAGAAUCCUAGGGGAGGGAGCAGUGGGGAAUAUAGGAAAGUGGGCGAAAGGCAGAUGGAGCAAUGACGGGUGAGUGAUGAAGGUCGUAGGGUAGUAAAGCAAUUUUACACGGGAUGAUAAUGACAGUACCGGGAGAAUAAGCUCCGGCUAACUCCGUG
This 433-nucleotide ribosomal RNA is filed under the name uncultured bacterium. RNAcentral describes it as "partial 16S ribosomal RNA". It matches the Rfam family "Bacterial small subunit ribosomal RNA", at positions 29 to 507 of the family's 1533-position model. The record is from RNAcentral.